RNAcentral lists this ribosomal RNA (259 nucleotides) under uncultured prokaryote. RNAcentral describes it as "partial 16S ribosomal RNA". It matches the Rfam family "Bacterial small subunit ribosomal RNA", at positions 524 to 782 of the family's 1533-position model. The record is from RNAcentral.
UACGUAGGUGGCGAGCGUUAUCCGGAAUUAUUGGGCGUAAAGAGCGCGCAGGUGGUUGAUUAAGUCUGAUGUGAAAGCCCACGGCUUAACCGUGGAGGGUCAUUGGAAACUGGUCGACUUGAGUGCAGAAGAGGGAAGUGGAAUUCCAUGUGUAGCGGUGAAAUGCGUAGAGAUGUGGAGGAACACCAGUGGCGAAGGCGACUCUCUGGUCUGUAACUGACGCUGAGGUGCGAAAGCGUGGGUAGUGAACAGGAUUAGA